CAACGUCAUUUAGCAAAAAAUCAAGUUCCUCUGGAAAUUAGUUGGCAACACUGAGCGGAAUGCGGCGAAAGUAUCUACUGGAUGCGGACGACUCGAAUGUGCUGCUCUGAAAUGCAGGACAGAUGCCAGGGAAGUCCAGAAGAAUGACACGUCUGCAUUACUUGUGACAUGACUUUCUGACUUCAAGGCAUCUGAACAGAAUCUCCACUUGGAGUUCCAUUCUGGAAUAGGAAUGUGUGCUGAAUACCUGAUUCCAGACCAUGAGACUGAUGCGCUUUGUGAAAAUCCAGGUUGGUGAAAUGUUAAAACACUGACAUCAUUUGAAAUAGUACCCCACUUCCCUUUAUAGUGCCCUACCUUAGACCAGGACCCAUGUACUAUAAAGGGAAUAGAGUGACUUUGGAUGCAGACUCUUUCACCUUUUAGCUGACCAACUGUACAAGAUGGCUACCGGGAUGUGCUACAGUCCCAAUGAUGAUUAACUUAGCUCACUUUGAACCGAUGUGAAACGACAUGAACUACUGAGUGACUGUAGCUAAUGCACCAGUUGUAUGUUUAAAUGUUCUUUGCAGCAAAACACUAAUUUCCUUUCUCAUUUUAACAGAUGUGGGAUGAAGUUUCCUGAAGGGAUUAACACGACCUUCACUGGGUUUGGGUGCUGUGGUUCGUGGCAUUGCAGCGUGGACUCCAACAUACUGGUUCUUCUGAAUGUGGCUGAACAGGGAGCCGUGAUGCCAACUAGACUGGUCCUGAUGGUGGUACCAGACUAGUCACUAGAAGAUGCCUGUUACUUAACUACCUCAAGGUCCUGACUGUUGUACCAGACUGGCCACUAGAAGCUCUUUGCUGUGACAGUGAAUGAAGAUGUGGAAUCCAAGUUAUUGUUUCUGCCCCUCUGGUUGAGGUCCUGGUGUCUGCAGGGUUUGGAAAGAUCUGGUUGGCUGCUGAAGUGUUGCUGUGCUGGUGGAGGGGAAGCUCUCCUGUUUUAUACCUGCAAGCCCUCUUGCUCUCCUGAUUGGUCAGCAAGGAAGUGGGAUGUCUCGUUGGAACUGGGGGAAACCAGGCCAAGUCAGUUCAACCUCACGACUGUGUUUUGAUGUGUGAAUAAAUCAACAAAUGUUUAUGCUUGUUUUCUUUCUUGGUGGUAAUAAAUCAGACUUGUUGAAUUUG
Long non-coding RNA from Oncorhynchus nerka (sockeye salmon), 1170 nucleotides. RefSeq lists it as uncharacterized. The transcript has 12 exons. NCBI's taxonomy places the organism in Eukaryota, Metazoa, Chordata, Actinopteri, Salmoniformes, Salmonidae. The record is from RefSeq and is a predicted model, not a curated record.